Molecule: small RNA, 29 nt
Filed under: Bombyx mori (domestic silkworm)
Lineage: Eukaryota; Metazoa; Arthropoda; Insecta; Lepidoptera; Bombycidae
Description: ovarian small RNA-27324
Source: RNAcentral
UCCCGGUAGUCCUUCCCCGGAGCCACGAC